Molecule: long non-coding RNA, 225 nt
Filed under: Elaeis guineensis (African oil palm)
Lineage: Eukaryota; Viridiplantae; Streptophyta; Magnoliopsida; Arecales; Arecaceae
Description: long non-coding RNA (EGUI_LNC042383)
Source: RNAcentral
CGGCUGGGAUCCGGCUCUUAUAAGAGCUCGGAUGAAAUCCAGAGGGCGGUCGAUCACCAUAGAAACUUGGAUGGAGUCUGGUUACUAUAGAAAAUCGGCUGAUAAUAAAGUUCGGAGAGUAUUUGAAGCAGUUCGGUAGAUGAAUGGGGGAGCUCAUUAUCAGAGAGGUCCGAAUGGCAUUAUGAGAGCUCGAACAGUCGGGGCAGUUCAGAAAGACAUCACACA